This 549-nucleotide ribosomal RNA is filed under the name uncultured bacterium. RNAcentral describes it as "bacterial SSU rRNA". It matches the Rfam family "Bacterial small subunit ribosomal RNA", at positions 355 to 896 of the family's 1533-position model. The record is from RNAcentral.
CAGGGAAUAUUGCGCAAUGCCCAAAUGGGUGACGCAGCAACGCCGCGUGGGUGAUGAAGUUCUUCGGAAUGUAAAACCCUGUCGGAGGGGAAGAAACUCUCAAAGGCAAAUAAUCUUUGGGACUGACGGUACCCUCAGAGGAAGCUCCGGCCAACUCCGUGCCAGCAGCCGCGGUAAUACGGGGGGAGCGAGCGUUGUUCGGAAUCACUGGGCGUAAAGGGUGUGUAGGCGGGCGGAUAAGUCAGACGUGAAAAUCUAAAGCUUAACUUUGGACCUGCGUUUGAAACUGUUUGUCUUGAGUACGGGAGAGGAAAGUGGAAUUCCUGGUGUAGCGGUGAAAUGCGUAGAUAUCAGGAGGAAUACCGGUGGCGAAGGCGGCUUUCUAGCCCGAUACUGACGCUGAGACACGAAGGCUAGGGGAGCAAACAGGAUUAGAUACCCUGGUAGUCCUAGCGGUAAACGUUGGGCACUAGGUGUUGUCCCUUAACCGGGGCAGUGCCGCAGCUAACGCAUUAAGUGCCCCGCCUGGGGAGUACGACCGCAAGGUUG